RNAcentral lists this unclassified non-coding RNA (217 nucleotides) under uncultured Acidobacteriota bacterium. RNAcentral describes it as "uncultured Acidobacteria bacterium contains 16S-23S intergenic spacer region". Lineage: Bacteria; Pseudomonadati; Acidobacteriota. The record is from RNAcentral.
UCCGGUUUGUCACCGGCAGUCUCUUCAGAGUGCCCAGCGUAACCUGAUGGCAACAGAAGACAAGGGUUGCGCUCGUUGCGGGACUUAACCCAACAUCUCACGACACGAGCUGACGACAGCCAUGCAGCACCUCUACAGACGUCCUUGCGGAAGCCUACUUUCGUAGGAUGUCAUCUGCAGUUCAAGCCUGGGUAAGGUGGGGAUGACGUAAGGAUAG